RNAcentral lists this ribosomal RNA (465 nucleotides) under Vreelandella stevensii. Its description in RNAcentral is "partial 16S ribosomal RNA". It matches the Rfam family "Bacterial small subunit ribosomal RNA", at positions 338 to 795 of the family's 1533-position model. Lineage: Bacteria; Pseudomonadati; Pseudomonadota; Gammaproteobacteria; Oceanospirillales; Halomonadaceae. The record is from RNAcentral.
CCUACGGGGGGCUGCAGUGGGGAAUAUUGGACAAUGGGGGCAACCCUGAUCCAGCCAUGCCGCGUGUGUGAAGAAGGCCCUCGGGUUGUAAAGCACUUUCAGUGAGGAAGAACGCCUGGUGGUUAAUACCCAUCAGGAAAGACAUCACUCACAGAAGAAGCACCGGCUAACUCCGUGCCAGCAGCCGCGGUAAUACGGAGGGUGCGAGCGUUAAUCGGAAUUACUGGGCGUAAAGCGCGCGUAGGUGGCUGGAUAAGCCGGUUGUGAAAGCCCCGGGCUCAACCUGGGAACGGCAUCCGGAACUGUCAAGCUAGAGUGCAGGAGAGGAAGGUAGAAUUCCCGGUGUAGCGGUGAAAUGCGUAGAGAUCGGGAGGAAUACCAGUGGCGAAGGCGGCCUUCUGGACUGACACUGACACUGAGGUGCGAAAGCGUGGGUAGCAAACAGGAUUAGAUACCCCGGUAGUC